UGCAGCACCUGCCUUUAGGUCUACUUAAGCCUCAGCUGUUGGCCACAUCUUCAGCUGCGGUAGGAGCCAUGGGAGGUGUUUGGAUUCUGAUCUUUUGCGCAGUGACUUUUUGGCGUAAAGUCUCUUGCUUGCCAAUCGACCAAACUGGAGGCAUAAACUAUGAAGAGAAGACUAGUGACUUCUUCUCAAAAGAGGAAAUGUCACUGAAGAAAGCGGCUUCACUCCAGUUAUUGGCUUCCAGGUUGACAAAAACUUCAGAAGAAGUCAAAUUAGAUACCGAUGAUGUGUCAAGUGACGCCGCCCACAAUGUGUCAAGUGACGCCGC
Fundulus heteroclitus (mummichog) is the source of this 325-nucleotide long non-coding RNA. RefSeq lists it as uncharacterized. The record is from RefSeq and is a predicted model, not a curated record. The transcript has 4 exons. NCBI's taxonomy places the organism in Eukaryota, Metazoa, Chordata, Actinopteri, Cyprinodontiformes, Fundulidae.